AACGCACCUUGCGCUCCUUGGUAUUCCGAGGAGCAUGCCUGUUUGAGUGUCAUUAAAUUCUCAACUAUCCCAGUUUUUUUUUUGUAAACCUGGAUGGUUUGGAUCAUGGGAUUUGCGGGCUUUUCUAAGUCGGCUUUCCUUAAAUGCAUUAGCAGAGCUUUUGCCGCUAGCUAUUGGUGUGAUAGUUAUCGACGCUAUUAGUGAGCCGCAUGAAUGGAGCUUCGCUUCUAAUCGUCUUUACAGACAACUUUGACAAUCUGACCUCAAAUCAGGUAGGACUACCCGCUGAACUUAA
This 295-nucleotide unclassified non-coding RNA is filed under the name uncultured Clitopilus. RNAcentral's name for it is "sequence contains ITS2". The stretch from base 1 to 52 matches the Rfam family "5.8S ribosomal RNA", at positions 103 to 154 of the family's 154-position model. The record is from RNAcentral. Lineage: Eukaryota; Fungi; Basidiomycota; Agaricomycetes; Agaricales; Entolomataceae.